GUCGGGGUGGCUGAGCGGUCUAAGGCGCCAGACUCAAGUUCUGGUCCACGAUGUGGGCGUGGGUUCGUAUCUCACCUCC
Molecule: transfer RNA, 79 nt
Filed under: Trichobilharzia regenti
Lineage: Eukaryota; Metazoa; Platyhelminthes; Trematoda; Strigeidida; Schistosomatidae
Rfam family: tRNA
About the family: Transfer RNA (tRNA) molecules are approximately 80 nucleotides in length.
Source: Rfam by way of RNAcentral